This is a long non-coding RNA of Canis lupus familiaris (dog), 220 nucleotides long. RefSeq lists it as uncharacterized. The transcript is spliced from 3 exons. The record is from RefSeq and is a predicted model, not a curated record. NCBI's taxonomy places the organism in Eukaryota, Metazoa, Chordata, Mammalia, Carnivora, Canidae.
CAAUCAUUAGGAGCAUUAAGCCACAUGCUGAGGAUGGCAGAGGACAAAGAUGAAAAAAAAAUGGACUGAUGCAAAGAUCUGAAAACAAAGGUGGGAGUCUUCACAGUGAUUCAUGGUUUCAUUCAACAUUCACUCCCCCGGAUAAACUUCAUGAGGAUUUUAUUUAUUUAUUAGAGACACAGAGAAUGACAGAGAGAGAGAGAGACAAAGACACAGGCAG